CCUACGGGAGGCAGCAGUGAGGAAUAUUGGUCAAUGGUCGGGAGACUGAACCAGCCAAGCCGCGUGAGGGAUGAAGGUACAGAGUAUCGUAAACCUCUUUUGUCAGGGAACAAAGGCGGGGACGUGUCCCCGGAUGAGUGUACCUGAAGAAAAAGCAUCGGCUAACUCCGUGCCAGCAGCCGCGGUAAUACGGAGGAUGCGAGCGUUAUCCGGAUUUAUUGGGUUUAACGGGUGCGUAGGCGGUCUGUUAAGUCAGCGGGAAAAGCCCGGGGCCCAACCCCGGCCCGCCGGUGAAACUGGCAGUCUCGAGUUGGAGAGAAGUAUGCGGAAUGCGCGGUGUAGCGGUGAAAUGCAUAGAUAUCGCGAAGAACUCCGAUUGCGAAGGCAGCAUGCCGGCUCCACACUGACGCUGAGGCACGAAAGCGUGGGUAUCGAACAGGAUUAGAUACCCGAGUAGUC
RNAcentral lists this ribosomal RNA (459 nucleotides) under uncultured bacterium. RNAcentral's name for it is "partial 16S ribosomal RNA". It matches the Rfam family "Bacterial small subunit ribosomal RNA", at positions 338 to 795 of the family's 1533-position model. The record is from RNAcentral.